ACCGUGGGGAUGAAGUGACCUGUUUGCUGGAAACUGUGUGGCACUGUUCCCAGGUCUGUGAUUUCCAAGUUUUGCAGAGGAAACUGCUCUGAGACCAGAGAACUGCAUCUGUCUGACGAAAUCAGCCACUGUCUGUAGUAGCCCUUUCUAAACCGGCACUCAGCGGGCAGCUGGGAGCCCGAGGUGGCUCGCGUGCACCAAGGGAGUGUGGGAAACACCUCAACCAUACCUCCCUUCGUGGACAUCAGGCUGCUUAUUGGUAUUAUAAAGAUGCUGCACAAUCUGCAAUAAACAAAUAAUUUUAGUUUGCUUUAACCUCGCGUUUCCCAAGUGCACUCUUCUAGUACAGAAUCCCUGCUACGAGGCCCUGUGGGCUGCACUGCGGACAAGCACGGAUCUGCACAAUCAAUAGUAUGGAAAUCAACAAAGCCGUUGGUCUCCGGGUCACCCGUGGAGACAGGAAAAUGCAGUUGGAGACUGGUGACCACCCACAGCAGUUCCUGAAUUGGGCCAUCAGACCCACCAGCAGGGAGGUGAUCUUGCCUCUCCCUGCUGGACAGGCAGUCCCACUGGGGGACGGAGUGGCCAGGCUGGGUCAGCGGCUGACAGUCAUGCAAUGACCACAGCUUGGGGACAGCAAACCGCUUCGGAGCCUUGCAAUCUUGGCGGAGUCUGCCUGAAAAGAUGACAAUCUGUAGCUCUUCUGCCACCUCCCCUGUCUCCGCAAAUAAGGGUUGGGUCGUUAGCGUUUUAAUUUAUUUAUUUAUUAAUUUUUAAAGAGACAUUUCCCCUUUCUCUCCUCGGGUCUGGAGUCAUUAAACAGGGAUUAGCUGGAUAAAUAGAGGAAGUGAUUUUUAAACUGUUUGCAAACUUAAUGUGAAGAGCCCAGCCUUGCAAAUUAUCACGUCUAAUCAGAGGCCCUCGCUUCACUGCUCCAGUAAUUGUACUGGUAUUAGUCAAAUUCUUGUUGUCUCCUCAUUAGCCGUGAAAAGGAGACUCAAGAUGUACUUCAUUAGAGUGUCCUGGAAAUAUAUUGCUAAU
This 1041-nucleotide long non-coding RNA is filed under the name Microcebus murinus (gray mouse lemur). Its description in RNAcentral is "lncRNA (ENSMICG00000048550.1)". The record is from RNAcentral. Lineage: Eukaryota; Metazoa; Chordata; Mammalia; Primates; Cheirogaleidae.